ACUUUGAUUUUUUUGGAGUGUACUUACAAACAGUCCUUGAUCACCACUAAAACCAACAGUGUUCUUCACCCUUCGGAGUGGACUUCAGAACAGCCCUACAUUUUCACCCAAGCUUAUGGUGUUAUACGAUCCUUUGGACUAGACUUGGGAAUACUUCAUUAGGUCUACAUCUUCUGCAGCUGUCCUCUGACAGAGAUUUUCACAUUGAUUAUUGAAAAGUAGACUUUUAAAACAUUGAAGACAUCUAUACCAGGCUGGCAUCAUGUCUAAUAAAAAGCGAACAAAUAGUUCAAAGCUACUUUCACCACCAACCAAAGAAAGGAAAAACUGACAUUCCACUUCA
Long non-coding RNA from Pseudophryne corroboree (corroboree frog), 343 nucleotides. RefSeq lists it as uncharacterized. The record is from RefSeq and is a predicted model, not a curated record. NCBI's taxonomy places the organism in Eukaryota, Metazoa, Chordata, Amphibia, Anura, Myobatrachidae. The transcript is spliced from 3 exons.